GCCGAGUUAUUCCGGAUCCUUGGGUAGCCGUGCAAGAAACGCCAGCCAGAGCAAGGGUCAGGGAACGGGUGUGACUCUGGUUUGAACCGGGAGAGGAAGUUCACCCAAGGCCCAGGAAACGUAUUCAGCAUAUUAACCUCCUCGGGUGCCUAGUUGACUUUUGAUCAUUGACUUACUAUUUGUGCAUGGGGGGGUGAAGCUGGCAGAGAUGCCCAUGAGAGUAAAAAGUUAUUUUUUCUAGAACUUUUUAAUAAGAUGGUAGGAGACAAAGUACUUUGUUGCAGAGGCAGCUGCUGGAGGAGGGUUUCCCGGGGAGGAUAGAGAGACGGGCUUGUUUUUCUUAUAUAUAGAUUUUUGGGGUUGGGAGGAGUAGUCUUGUGAAAUGAGGCUAGACUUAAUUAUGGCUCUGUGUCGUCUAUAGAAGAGCAGCAACAAAAGCCUGAUUUCUAUCCUGCAAAAAGAAUAAAAUGCAAAUUUAAGUCAGCAUAUUUCAAGGAGGGGCAUAAACCGGAUUGCUGAGGCAACAGCUGGCCCAGAUAGGAAAUCAAAGUGACUGGAAGAAUUUUAAAAACAGCAGCGAACGGAAAUAAUCCCUGUCUGAGCAAAACUAAGAACAAUAUGAAAGCCACAACCAAUAUAAUUAUCACACAAAUUAACUGCAAUCUCAUACUUGUCUAUUCAGAAGUAAGCAUUGAAUUCAGUGGGACUUCGGUUGUGUACACACUCUGGUUAAUUCUCCAUCCAGUGCACUCUCACUGCUAGUUUGGGAAGUGGUUUACACAUGAUUUUAGCCACAAUCCAUAUCUGUCCUGCUAUUUCUUACGCAACACUGCAUUUUGAGGCAUUUCCCCUCAAAAACAGUUUCAGCUUGAAUUGAGCUGUUCAAAUCUUUGAUAAACCUCUACUACAAAUUCAGAUUUCAGGAGCUUAGGUAAGCCAUGGCUUUCACUGCUUAGGGUGAGGAUAUUCUACUGACCUACCAUACGAGGCUGUUUUAAAGAUUAUUGAGAUGAUGAACAUGAAACCCUUUGAAAACCUGGUUAGGCACACAGUUCCCACCUAUCCAUGUCUACUUAGAAGUAAAUCCUACUGCAUUUCAUGUAGCUUAUUUUGCAAAUGGUAGGGAGUGCACAGGACUGCAGUCUUUUUUCAAGCUUCUGUCUGCUUCACUGUCCACGUUACCAUGGAUUGAGACAAUUGGCUUCUAUAUAUGCUAUUUUUAUUUAGGUAAACCUUUGGUGGCUUUUUCACACUGUUUUCUUCUUGUUCUUUUUCUUCUUACAAAUGUAUUUUUGAAUUCAUUUGGGGGUGUAUUUGUUUCCCUUUGUAAGCCACUAAGAAUUUUUACAAAUAGAACAGUUAUACUGUAGCAUGUUUAAAUAAAUACUUUCUUAUAAUGUGAUGUGUGGGAGAGGAAAGCAGAUGGCUCUUAACACUUCCAGUAGGCAAAAUUGUACUUGACAAGCUUCCUUUGCCACCAAACUCUUAGCAGAACAAACGCCCCCUGCUGGUUAUAUGGUAGCAACUUUAUUAUUAUUGCCUUCACAGAGGUCACCCAACUUUUAUUCGGCCCGGUGGCAUAUUUGGAAUGUUGAGAGAAUGUCAUGCGCACUGGUCACAAAAUGGCUGCCACAAGGCGGGUGGCUUGACACAAAAUGGCUGCCAUGAGGGUGUGGCUCAAAACAAAAUUGGGAGUACAGUACUGGUUUUCCUAUAGAACAAAGCAAUUUAUUGGUUGGAUAUGGUCGAUUUUGGGCCACUCACUGUCUUUCAGCCUAACCUGGUUCAAAGGAUUGUUGCCAGGAUAAUAUACUGGAGAGGGGGAGAACCAUGUAGGCCAUCUUGAGCUGCCUGGAGGCUAUUAUUAUUAUUAUUAUUAUUAUUAUUAUUAUUAUCAACCGGGUAGGACAAGAAGGCAAGGCAACCUACAAGGCAAGGCCUGCAGGCAUCCCUUUUGCUGUUCCCUAUCACCUAUUACCGUAUUGGCCUGAAUAUAAGCCAUACUUUUUUUCCCAAAUUCCAACCAUGAAAAGUUAAAAGUGCGGCUUAAAUUCGCAACCUUACAAAAAUUGGCUUUUACGGGACUUCUGGUGAGGCAAGAUGGCAGGCGCCACAGCAGCGCAUAGCUCCUAGGACCACCAGCAUACGACACAAUUCUAACGAAUCGGCUUAUAUUUGGGUAUUGUCUUUUUUUUUCUUGAGUUUUAAAGGUGCGGCUUAUUUGCAGGUAUGGCUUAUAUUUGGGCCAAUACGGUAUAAAUCAAAAUGCAAAAAACAGCCUAUGAAGCAAGUAGGGACCACAUCCACAUCACUGCUUCUAACCCCCUGCCUUAAAAUGCCCUUGGGGGCCAGAAAAGGGAGGAAGACAGCACCCUCACCGCUUCUACCCGUCCAAAUAAAAAUGGUGCUUGGUGCUGGAAAAAGCAGGGAGGCAAGCCACUUCAGAAAAGCCUGCUGGAUCAGACCAUCUAGCUGAGCUUGUUUCCCACAGUGGCCAACCAGGACGAUGCACCUGGAAAGCCCCAAAAGAGAAUAUGGGGGGGCUUGUCCCACAACUGUUCCCCAGGGACUGGUAUUCAGAGGCAUGUUGACUCUGGUCCUGACUGAAGGUAGCAUGUACCUAUCUACAUCAUGGCUAAUAGCCAUUGAAAGCCUAAAUGUUCAUUAAAUUGUCUAUUUCCCUUCUAAAUUGGUGGCCGUCACUGCUUCUUGGGGCAGCAAAUUCCUUAACGCCCUAUGCAUUUUUCAGUUAGAUACAUUAAUGAAAACAGCAGCUAUGAUGGAGCCAAUCUCUGCAGGCUUUUCUGAAGUUUCAGAGUGGUGGCACAGAAUAUGAGCUUUAUAUACUGUCAGCAUAUAAAAGACAUGAAGCAUAUUGGCUGGGGAACUGCCAAGUCAGUGAGUAUACUUACCCGCAAACUUGUAUGUCAGCAUCUUAAUGAUCAGAUUUAAAUCCCACCUAUGCCCAUUUGAAACUGGGAAUUUAGUCUGUUUUUUCCUAUGCCUGGGCAGAAACAAAUCUAACUGAAAUAGUCUAAUCUCAUCUACCUAAAGGUUUGUUUGCUUGUUUUAAUUUUAAAUGGCACUUUCCAAGCUACUGUAUUGAAUUGAAGCUACUAUCAAAUUGUGGAGGGGCAUGGUACUUGUCAGAUAUCAUUUAUGAUAAAAGCUUUCACAAAAUCAGAAUAGCAACCAGUCACAAAACCCCGUUGAUAAUUGGGUUAUAAUUCAUUAGCUUCUCAAGAGAUAGCCUAAAACAGAUCCUCCUCUGCCCCACAUCACUAUUGUUGCUUUAUAUCAGGGUGGGCCAUGGCCCUCCAAAUGUUGUUAAACUGCAAUCCCCGUCAUCUCUGACGACUGAGCAUGCUGGCUGGAGAUGAAGGGAGCUAGAGUCAAGAAGAUAUGGAGAAACAAAUAUUCCCCAUUCCUUUCUCAACCUUCAUUUCUAAGCCUCUUGCAGCAGUGAUUUGUGAUAUCCUUAUGAACCUUCCAACAACUCUCUGCAUUUUGAUUACGUUUAUCUUGCCCUUAGAGCAGGGGGUGGGGGGAACCGGUGGCUCAUGAGAUGUUGGACUACAAUGUCUAUUGUCCCUGACCAUUGGCCAUGCUGGCUGGUGUUGAUGGGAGCUGUAGUCCAACAACAUUUGAAGUGCCACAGGCUCCCAUCCCUGCCUUGUUGCUGGUUAUCACUCGGCUUACUUUACAGCAACCAUUUCCAAUGCAAAUCUAGACUACAUUGCUAUAAUGAUGCUCUUAGAAAAGAUGAGAUACCUUUCUACUAGCAUAGUAUACAUACCUCAUGGCAUACAGUGACACAUGUAGACAUUUCAAUGCUGAGUAAUGGGUUCAUCAAACCUAUUAUUUAAAUAUUGUGAAUGAAUGGUUUAAAAAAACCAAGUUUCUUUGGAAACAUUACGAAGUUCAAUAGCUGGAGUCAAACAGAAAGGACUUCUCUUGUGACUGAGCUAAGAUAAGAGAUUAUUUUAUUUUAAUCGCUGUAUUUGGGCCCUUCCAAAAUAGGUUAAGAGAAAGAUCAGAGCAGCACUCUCCAUACUUGUGAGUCCCAGCAACUGGUAUUAUGGGUGGUUGGGGUGAGGGGCAUUUUGCAUCAAAAUGCCAUUGUAGUGCAAACCUGUCCAGUGUGGACAGCCAAAGUUCUAGUGAGACUUUUUUGGGCUCCUGUGCUUGUAAUUAACAGCUUGCUUGAAACUUCUGCCUGUGUUAUUGCAUCUUGUUAAGCACAGCAGCAGGAUUACCGAUACCCCUUCAUUACCAUUAAUAGAAUCUCUGUUUUAUUUUGUUUUGUGUUUCAUCACCAAUAUUCUCCUACAGCAACCUGAACAAACAAUAAAAUGACCAGAAGCUACAACAAGUUUAAGCCCCAAAAUGAAAUGCUCCAAGGCCAUCAAACACAAUAAUAAAGUUUUAUCAUCACGGAGUCAGGAUUCCCGACAUCAUAUUCAAACAAUGACCUCCAUCAUUUGCCUCCAUUAAAGCAGUCCAGAACUUCCUCGUGAGUUUCGCAAAGUUCAUUCAAACACCCUUUUCCACUGUGGAAUCUGCACUUUCUGGAGUGCCCCUCAGUCGCAGGUAUCCCAUGUUUUUGAGUUUGUGGCUUGAGAGGUAGGCGCUGGGGACAGCAACAAAAGUCUGUGAUCAAGCAUAUAACUAAGAGGUUGUCCAUGAUGAUAACAAAGGAGAAACUGGAUUCCUCAAAUGAUUACUGAGGGGUCAAAGGAAAACGUCGUUCGGACCGAAGGAGGCAGAAACGCAAGUGGCGGAGACAUCGGAUUUGGAAUGAAGGAACAUCUGGGCAGAAACAAGAGACUGAGAAUUGUGCUCUCCUAGUGCAAAGUGUAAUGCUUCUUCAGAAUCCUGAGCAUCCAAGUUCAGGAGCUUUUUUUUUACAAGGCAAGUUUCUAGCCUGGCUAGUAAUUUGGGCAAAUUUGCUACUCAAGAAUUAGAAGCCAGAAGAGGUUGGGCCAGACUUCCAGUGGUCAGGCUGUUGUUCUUGAUGCUGUUACACCUCCUUCCCAUAACCAGUCUCAAAAUGUAUCAACUUUGCUCCAAAAAUUGUAAGCAGAAUGAAGGGUGCACAAAGAAGAAUGUGUGUGCAGUUGGUCUUGCUGCUGCUGCUGUUUAUUUUUACAGUCAGGAAGGUUUUCUAGUUGCAGACUUCUGAAUAUAUGUAUUUUUUCCCCCAUAGUGUAACUGGAGGACAACAGCAACUGAGGAAGAGACUGCCCUUCAUUAAGGGACUCAGUGAAAGUGACUGUGGAAAAAGAAAUUGGAUUUCCUCUAAUGUAUAACACUGCUAUACUUGCUGACCUAUCCUGAUUUCCAGAAGUGAGACUGUCAUGCACGCAGUGCCGCUGCAAGCCUUGGCAAAACAUUUUUGUGUUUUCCAUGCAGGUUACGAAAUAAUUUGAUUCCCUUCCCUCUGAAGGGACAAUAUUCCAUGA
Podarcis raffonei (Aeolian wall lizard) is the source of this 5462-nucleotide long non-coding RNA. RefSeq lists it as uncharacterized. Lineage: Eukaryota; Metazoa; Chordata; Lepidosauria; Squamata; Lacertidae. The transcript has 2 exons. The record is from RefSeq and is a predicted model, not a curated record.